RNAcentral lists this long non-coding RNA (1085 nucleotides) under Carassius auratus (goldfish). Its description in RNAcentral is "lncRNA (ENSCARG00000038338.1)". Lineage: Eukaryota; Metazoa; Chordata; Actinopteri; Cypriniformes; Cyprinidae. The record is from RNAcentral.
AUGGAUGUAUUCUGCAUGGAACGAGCAAAAUAUUUUAAUAGGCCUACAUUUUUUUUUAUCUCCCUCUCGUCACUAGGGGGUGCUGCAGCACCCCCAGCACCCCCACUUCCCGCGGCCAUGGCUACAAGUGACCCCACCUAUGAGGAUGGAUUUAAAGACCGGUUUGAACUGAAAAGAACAGAAACACUGAAGGGAGUUCUGAAAAUCUCUGAUCUCAGUUCAUCAGACUCGGCUGUUUAUUACUGUGCUGUCAGUGCUACAGGUGAACCCACGUUUGAAGAUGGAUUUAAAGGCCGGACUGAACUGGACAGAACAGAAACACUGAAGGGAGUCCUGAAAAUCUCUGAUCUCAGUUCAUCAGACUCGGCUGUUUAUUACUGUGCUGUCAGUAUGCACAGUGCUGUAGUCUUUAUUACCUGCCUGACUAAAAACCAAGCCACCAGACAAACAGGAAAUGCAAUACGUACAAAUGAGGAAUCUAACCUCUGUAUCUUUUUCUUUUUUUCAGAUUUUCUUUUUCAAAGAUUUUUGUACUUUCUGUCAGUUUUUAAUUGAAAACACAAUCAAAUAUAAGCUUUCCUCCAAAACUAGUAGACCUACCUAGACAACAUUUUAAGGCAUCAUGUGUGGUGGCCAAAUUUUACAGUAACAUAUCCUUCACAGAUAACACAAUACCAGGAUGCAUUGCGACAGUAUCUGUGAAACAUACAAGAUGAUGGAUGCAGUCGAGAGAAAUAUUUCCAAUAAAUACUUACAUUUCAUGCAACAAAAACAGUUUCAGUCAAAUCCACAGCAAAAUAUUCUGUUGCUGGGGGCUACAUUGUUAUUUCUUCCUCUAAUGAGGAAGGUUUUGGAACUAAUUUCACAGUGUCAAGUACACAGACUAAUUAAUGGACCCUGAAAGUGGAUGUUAAUGAUGGGAUUGAUGCUGUGUAUCUGUGUGCUGCUAGUUUACACAAUGAAACAAAUAAAAAGAAAAAGAAAUGGUGUAAGAAAAAAUGCAAUAAAAUCCUGCAAUCACACCUGCCUUAACCAUGAAUAAAUAAACCCAUAUUUGUACAAACCAGUCAGCAGAACCUGACAAC